UUCCGGAACCGGGACGUGGCGGU
This 23-nucleotide small nuclear RNA is filed under the name Arabidopsis thaliana (thale cress). RNAcentral describes it as "snRNA_01142". Lineage: Eukaryota; Viridiplantae; Streptophyta; Magnoliopsida; Brassicales; Brassicaceae. The record is from RNAcentral.